Molecule: ribosomal RNA, 232 nt
Filed under: uncultured bacterium
Lineage: Bacteria
Description: partial 16S ribosomal RNA
Rfam family: Bacterial small subunit ribosomal RNA
Source: RNAcentral
CGGACGGGUGAGUAAUGUCUGGGAAACUGCCCGAUGGAGGGGGAUAACUACUGGAAACGGUAGCUAAUACCGCAUAGCGUCGCAAGACCAAAGAGGGGGACCUUAGGGCCUCUUGCCAUCGGAUGUGCCCAGAUGGGAUUAGCUAGUAGGUGGGGUAAUGGCUCACCUAGGCGACGAUCCCUAGCUGGUCUGAGAGGAUGACCAGCCACACUGGAACUGAGACACGGUCCAG